This 173-nucleotide ribosomal RNA is filed under the name uncultured bacterium. RNAcentral describes it as "partial 16S ribosomal RNA". It matches the Rfam family "Bacterial small subunit ribosomal RNA", at positions 334 to 524 of the family's 1533-position model. The record is from RNAcentral.
UACUCCUACGGGAGGCAGCAGUGGGGAAUAUUGCACAAUGGGGGAAACCCUGAUGCAGCGACGCCGCGUGAGUGAAGAAGUGUUUCGGCACGUAAAGCUCUAUCAGCAGGGAAGAAAAUGACGGUACCUGACUAAGAAGCUCCGGCUAAAUACGUGCCAGCAGCCGCGGUAAU